RNAcentral lists this ribosomal RNA (253 nucleotides) under uncultured bacterium. RNAcentral's name for it is "partial 16S ribosomal RNA". It matches the Rfam family "Bacterial small subunit ribosomal RNA", at positions 524 to 776 of the family's 1533-position model. The record is from RNAcentral.
UACGUAGGUGGCGAGCGUUGUCCGGAUUUACUGGGCGUAAAGAGCGCGCAGGCGGUCGUUCAAGUCGCGUGUGAAAGCCCCCGGCUCAACUGGGGAGGGUCACGCGAUACUGAUCGACUCGAAGGCAGGAGAGGGAAGUGGAAUUCCCGGUGUAGAGGUGAAAUUCGUAGAUAUCGGGAGGAACACCAGUGGCGAAGGCGGCGAUCUGGGAAGAUACUGACGCUGAGGUGCGAAAGCGUGGGGAGCAAACAGG